GAUGAACGCUGGCGGCGUGCUUAACACAUGCAAGUCGAACGGAAAGGCCUCUUUCGGGGGGUACUGGAGUGGCGAACGGGUGAGUAACACGCGAGUAGCCUGCCCAUCUCUAAGGGAGAACUAAAGGAGAGAGGGGCGAGUACCGGCUAGGAGCUCCUGCUGCAUGGAGGGGUCUGGAAAGUUUCGGCGGCUGGGGAUGGACUCGCGGCUGAUCAGCUUGUCGGUGGGGAAGUGGCUACCCAAGGCUUUGACGGGUAGACGGCCUGGGAGGGUGGCCGGCCACCAUGGGCCUACGGUACGGCCCAGACUCCUACGGGAGGCAGCAGUGGGGAAUCUUGCACAACGGGCGGAAGUCUGAUGCAGCGACGCCGCGUUCGUGAUGACCUCCUUCGGGUUGUAAACCGCUUUCGCCUGUGCCGAAGCGUGCUUGACGGUAAUGGGUCAGGAAGCCACGGCUAACUACGUG
Molecule: ribosomal RNA, 466 nt
Filed under: uncultured bacterium
Lineage: Bacteria
Description: partial 16S ribosomal RNA
Rfam family: Bacterial small subunit ribosomal RNA
Source: RNAcentral